RNAcentral lists this long non-coding RNA (1110 nucleotides) under Equus caballus (horse). RNAcentral's name for it is "lncRNA (ENSECAG00000052498.1)". The record is from RNAcentral. Lineage: Eukaryota; Metazoa; Chordata; Mammalia; Perissodactyla; Equidae.
CUCUGUCCGCAGAAAGAGGUCUUCUGGAUAAAUUAUCUGAAGGGUUGCAAAUCGAAUCUCCCAAGCUCAGUUGAGGUCAGCAAAGAUUGACGAAGUUACCUCCGGGUGCAGGUUCUGGGCUGGGUGCUAGAAUGUGGAAAUAAGGAAGACAGAGUUCCUGCCCCAGGAUCCCAGUCAGGGGAGGGAGGGAGGGAGUGGCCAGGAGAAGUCACCUCAUGGAAGGCGGCCAUGUUGUGACGGGAUAGAUACAAAGCGCUAAGAGAAGACAGACAAAAAGCUCAGCUCUCGAAGAAAUGUGCUGAUAGUACCUUGAUCAAUCAUUUCUCGACUUGUUUUUUUAACGGUUUAUGAAGCAUUUUUGAGUAUAGGAGCUCAUCUGAUCCUCACACGCACUCAGCGAAGCAAAGACAGCAGUGACUUUCCCGCCUUGAUACACGGGGAGACUGAGGUCUCAUCGAGAUGGCUCCCUGGGCAGACGCACGGUGGGUACUGACAGAAGAACGAGGAGCGUCGCUUCCGUCGAUUAAGGGCUUCCUUGCGCCAGGCCUGUGCCAAGCCCUGGACAAAUAUGAUCUCUCUCAAUUCUCACGACUCUUCAAAACAGGGUGGAGAGUCUAAAGGAAGAGCUCACUCUGCCAUGAUGCUGAUGUCACCUGCUGAUUCUUUUCUUUUGAAGAUUAUUCAGCCUCUUGCUUCUCCCUCCACUUCUUCCAACCUUUUAGACAUUUCAUGGCUUGAGAGAAUCACCAUAAGAAGAUGGAGAUGAUGGGAAGCACACUGAGUUGUAGCAGCUACGUCUCUUACCAGUUCUGUGACUUGGGCAAAUUCACUUGAGCUUCCUGAACCUUAGUUUCUUUAGCCAUAAAAUGGGAUCAUAAUUAUACUUAGUGACCUGAUAUUGCAUGUGAAGCAGCUGGGCCAGGGCCUGUUUGAUAGUAAAAGCUGCAUAAAUGUGACGUUGUCAUCAUUAUCUCCAUGGCCUGGCUGACAGGACCACAAGAAAGGAAAAGAGACUGAAAUCUUUUAUAUUCUUCUUAACUCUCUGGAAAAAGGAUUUAACACUCUGGUGAAAGAGCAUAAAAUUAAUAUGACUGGUUGGUCAAAAUGAGA